Molecule: ribosomal RNA, 897 nt
Filed under: uncultured Caminicella sp.
Lineage: Bacteria; Bacillati; Bacillota; Clostridia; Peptostreptococcales; Caminicellaceae
Description: bacterial SSU rRNA
Rfam family: Bacterial small subunit ribosomal RNA
Source: RNAcentral
UGGCGGCGUGCCUAACACAUGCAAGUCGAGCGGACCAAUGCUCAUUUCAGCUUUGCUGAUUUGAGCAACGGUUAGCGGCGGACGGGUGAGUAACGCGUGGGCAACCUGCCCUGUGCAGGGGGAUAACACAGCGAAAGCUGUGCUAAUACCCCAUAAGACUACGCUAUCGCAUGAUAGAGUAGUCAAAGCUUUAGCGGCACAGGAUGGGCCCGCGUCUGAUUAGCUAGUUGGNGGGGUAACGGCCUACCAAGGCGACGAUCAGUAGCCGACCUGAGAGGGUGAUCGGCCACACUGGAACUGAGACACGGUCCAGACUCCUACGGGAGGCAGCAGNGGGGAAUAUUGCACAAUGGGGGAAACCCUGAUGCAGCAACGCCGCGUGAGCGAAGAAGGCCUUCGGGUCGUAAAGCUCUGUCCUAAGGGAAGAAGUAUGACGGUACCUUAGGAGGAAGCCCCGGCUAACUACGUGCCAGCAGCCGCGGUAAUACGUAGGGGGCGAGCGUUAUCCGGAAUCACUGGGCGUAAAGGGUGCGUAGGCGGCCGAGUAAGCCAGAGGUGAAAGGCUACGGCUUAACCGUAGUAAGCCUUUGGAACUACCUGGGCUUGAGUGCAGGAAGAGGAGAGUGGAAUUCCUAGGUGUAGCGGUGAAAUGCGUAGAUAUUAGGAGGAACACCAGNGGCGAAGGCGACUCUCUGGGACUGUAACUGACGCUGANGCACGAAAGCGUGGGGAGCAAACAGGAUUAGAUACCCUGGUAGUCCACGCCGUAAACGAUGGAGUGGCUAGGUGUCGGGGGUUCACACCCUCGGUGCCGGAGUUAAAGCAAUAAGCACUCCGCCUGGGGGAGUACGGUCGCNAGACUGAAACUCAAAGGAAUUGACGGGACCCGCACAANCA